GCCAGACUCCUACGGGAGGCAGCAGUGAGGAAUAUUGGUCAAUGGGCGAGAGCCUGAACCAGCCAAGUCGCGUGAAGGAUGACGGCCCUACGGGUUGUAAACUUCUUUUGUCAGGGAGCAAUUGGGUCCACGCGUGGGCUUAGCGAGAGUACCUGAAGAAAAAGCAUCGGCUAACUCCGUGCCAGCAGCCGCGGUAAUACGGAGGAUGCGAGCGUUAUCCGGAUUUAUUGGGUUUAAAGGGUGCGUAGGCGGAUUUGUAAGUCAGCGGUAAAAAUGCGGUGCUCAACGCCGUAUCGCCGUUGAAACUGCAGGUCUUGAGUGAGCGAGAAGUAUGCGGAAUGCGUGGUGUAGCGGUGAAAUGCAUAGAUAUCACGCAGAACUCCGAUUGCGAAGGCAGCAUACCGGCGCUCAACUGACGCUGAAGCACGAAAGCGUGGGUAUCGAACAGGAUUAGAUACCCCGGUAA
RNAcentral lists this ribosomal RNA (466 nucleotides) under uncultured bacterium. RNAcentral describes it as "bacterial SSU rRNA". It matches the Rfam family "Bacterial small subunit ribosomal RNA", at positions 330 to 793 of the family's 1533-position model. The record is from RNAcentral.